Dermacentor andersoni is the source of this 1489-nucleotide long non-coding RNA. RefSeq lists it as uncharacterized. The record is from RefSeq and is a predicted model, not a curated record. NCBI's taxonomy places the organism in Eukaryota, Metazoa, Arthropoda, Arachnida, Ixodida, Ixodidae.
AUGGAAUGAGUUAUCGCAUGUUGGCGCCAACGCGCUUGUUUUCUUGCUUGAGACAACAUACGCGACCUACCAGUGGUGAUGCGCGCACGUCCUAGGCCACGUUAUCGCUAUCUCGUGAAACGCAAGUGACUCAGCCCGACUCGGCUGGCUGAGAAACGGCCGAGCAUCACCGAUAGCGUUGCGCGCGCCAGAGAUAUCCACUAGCGCGACGCAAGCGCCGGCGCUGCCAUCUCUUGUUCAUUUCGCUGGUUACUCGCACCGCGGGUAUGGUGGCUAGAAAGGGGAGGUGUGAUGACCGCGGCGCCCUUCCCAUAGAGAGGGGUGAUACCAUUGUGCGUGACUGCCGCUAGGGCAAUACAGAGCGCUGCCGCCCGGGGCGCCGUCAGCAUUUCCGCGGAGACGGCGGAGAGAAGGCAACGAGUACGGCUAGACAGCGCUUGGGCGCCGGAUUUUCACGGUUUGUUUUGCUGCAGAUUGUUGCCUGUGCUGCUUAUUUAUGACUGCUGUGGGCUGACGAAGAUGCCUUCAACUUCAAAGAAAAAAACUCAGAGAUGUUGCUUCGUGCCAGGGUGCGAUUCCGGUUACAAAUCUUGUUCAAAAAGAGUGUUCCUUUUCCGUGCGCCUACUUGCCAAGACUGUUUUUGAAGUGGGCGCGUGCCAUUCCAAGGGCCGACAAACCGCUGCAGGAAAAUUCAGCUGCUUGCGCAAAUCACUUUGACGCAAGCGCGCUACGACGGAGCGAACUUGCGAUACAGUCGACGGUAACUCAUGCUCACAAAGCUCGUGAAGGUAGUAUAGUCAUUUGUUAAGUGCUGGCGCACAGCAAGUUACCUUACUGCUUUUAAAACACGUGGUACAAACACAAACAAUGCUCUACAGCUGAAGUACGAGUAAGAGGCACUCCUGGAAAAUGAGAAGCAGGAUGAUGUAUUCCCCAUGGAGGCUGCUGAAGUGGCAGUGGACCAUGCGGACUAUUGAAAAACGAAGCGAUGCUCGCUUGGUGUACUACAUUGCAGGCCACAUGGCCAGGAAGCGUGUUCUCUCAACUAGCUGUGCAGUAUGCAGGGAUGCCUGCCUUGUGCCGAGAGACUGUGUCCCAAAAGAACUCCCAGCUGAUGCCUCCAAAGAGUGGGACUUGGGUGGGCUUCUCUACCCGUCGGAGUCACUGCAUCGUCUGAUUCAAGCUCUUGCAAUCAGGCUAACGUAUGAAUUUAGCAGAACGCGUCUGCAUUCUAAAGCUGCUUUCAGCAUGCUCGAGAAAGUGAGCACAAAUGUGCCACAAAUUGGUUGUGGGGAACAUUGCCUGGAACUUACAAAAUCAGUGGUCAGGUUUUUCUGCCUUACCAGAAUCCAGUUUCUUUUGAAGAGCCUCAACCAGGAAAUGAAUGAGAAAAAAGGCAAAAGAACAAAGCCUUGCGUGAUGUGAAACAAGCAGCAGAAUUGGUGAAGUACAAUCUGCUUUAUGCAAUAAAGCUUGCUUGUCCGUAAA